This 86-nucleotide non-coding RNA is filed under the name Halanaerobium kushneri. RNAcentral's name for it is "c-di-GMP sequence". It matches the Rfam family "c-di-GMP-I riboswitch aptamer". Rfam says of the family: GEMM was predicted in a large-scale screen for bacterial structured RNA regulatory elements. Genes associated with GEMM are involved in a diverse array of functions, including chemotaxis regulation, signal transduction, secretion and chitin. Lineage: Bacteria; Bacillati; Bacillota; Clostridia; Halanaerobiales; Halanaerobiaceae. The record is from RNAcentral.
UUAAAAUAUUAGCAAAAUUAGCGAAAGCUAAUGACGCAAAGUUAUGGGUCUAAGAUAUUUUGUAUUAUGAUUGCCAGACUGCACAU